AAAAACAUGUCUUUUUGGUUAUUUAAUAUAAAGUCUGACCUGCCCACUGAAUUUAAUUUUUGAAGGGCCGCAGUAUUUUGACUGUGCAAAGGUAGCAUAAUCAUUAGUCUUUUAAUUGAAGGCUGGUAUGAAUGGUUGGAUGAGGUACAAGCUGUGUCAUAAAAAUUAAUGAUUGAAUUUAACUUUUUAGUCAAAAGGCUAAAAUUUAAUUAAAAGACGAGAAGACCCUAUAGAGCUUUAUAUAAUGAUUAUUUAAUUUAUUAAGAUUUAUUAAAUUUAAUUAUUUUAUUAUAUUUUGUUGGGGUGACAAUAAAAUUUAUAAAACUUUUAUUAUUAUUUUACAUUUAUUUAUGAUUCUAUGAUCCAGUUUUAUUGAUUAUAAAUUUAAGUUACCUUAGGGAUAACAGCGUAAUUUUUUUUGAGAGUUCAUAUCGACAAAAAAGAUUGCGACCUCGAUGUUGGAUUAAGAGUAAUUUUGGGUGUAGAAGUUCAAAGUUUAAAUCUGUUCGACUUUUAAAUUCUUACAUGAUCUGAGUUC
Molecule: ribosomal RNA, 538 nt
Filed under: Simulium cormonsi
Lineage: Eukaryota; Metazoa; Arthropoda; Insecta; Diptera; Simuliidae
Description: partial 16S ribosomal RNA
Rfam family: Bacterial large subunit ribosomal RNA
Source: RNAcentral